Molecule: long non-coding RNA, 602 nt
Organism: Carassius auratus (goldfish)
Lineage: Eukaryota; Metazoa; Chordata; Actinopteri; Cypriniformes; Cyprinidae
Exons: 5
Source: RefSeq, a predicted model, not a curated record
AAGAAGAAGAUAAGGGCAUUGACGUGUUGCGUUGGGAUGAUGGUGCUCAGCCACUGGACACCAGCACGAGAUGCCCAGUCAAUUAAAAGUUCCUUCAUCUCAAUAAUCAAAUGGAGAGGGUACUGCAGACCCUACAGGGGCUCUCUUCAUCGCACCACUGCGUCUGGUAGCCAGCAUCAUCCCACUACCUGACACUGCCCAACUGGACUUUCGAUGACGCUUAUGAGUGACGGGGGCCAAUUCAUUUUUUUCCUUGAAAGUCACUGGCAUCCAGUUUUGCUUUGGAUCUCUUUGGAGUUUUGUUAUAGACAAAAAUAAAUUUCCACAAAAGACUGUCAGACAGGUACAACAUAAAGCGUCUCACCAUUUCUAAUGUGGCUACAUCACUUCUCCUCAACAUCUUCUCCUCUCCCUUUGCAUCUACGCCUGAGGUUUUCAGUGUGGGAGUGCACGCAAUACCUUCGGAUUGAGUUUCCAAUACAUGGACAUGGCUGCUCUCCUCACCGCCUGUUCAAACUUACUCUCUGAGGACAACCUUCUCACUUCCUGUGCAUUCUCUGGUGUGAUGCCUGCCAGUAGAGAAGUAUAGAAGGAUGCAUUGG